GAUGAACGCUGGCGGCGUGCUUAACACAUGCAAGUCGAACGGGAACUACUUUAUUGAAACUUCGGUCGAUUUAAUUUAAUUCUAGUGGCGGACGGGUGAGUAACGCGUGGGUAACCUGCCUUAUACAGGGGGAUAACAGUCAGAAAUGGCUGCUAAUACCGCAUAAGCGCACAGAGCUGCAUGGCUCGGUGUGAAAAACUCCGGUGGUAUAAGAUGGACCCGCGUUGGAUUAGCUUGUUGGUGGGGUAACGGCCCACCAAGGCGACGAUCCAUAGCCGGCCUGAGAGGGUGAACGGCCACAUUGGGACUGAGACACGGCCCAGACUCCUACGGGAGGCAGCAGUGGGGAAUAUUGCACAAUGGGGGAAACCCUGAUGCAGCGACGCCGCGUGAAGGAAGAAGUAUCUCGGUAUGUAAACUUCUAUCAGCAGGGAAGAUAGUGACGGUACCUGACUAAGAAGCCCCGGCUAACUACGU
Molecule: ribosomal RNA, 477 nt
Filed under: uncultured bacterium
Lineage: Bacteria
Description: partial 16S ribosomal RNA
Rfam family: Bacterial small subunit ribosomal RNA
Source: RNAcentral